UGAACUUGAGAUAAUGCUGCCAUUG
RNAcentral lists this non-coding RNA (25 nucleotides) under Mus musculus (house mouse). The record is from RNAcentral. Lineage: Eukaryota; Metazoa; Chordata; Mammalia; Rodentia; Muridae.